Molecule: ribosomal RNA, 440 nt
Filed under: uncultured bacterium
Lineage: Bacteria
Description: bacterial SSU rRNA
Rfam family: Bacterial small subunit ribosomal RNA
Source: RNAcentral
AACGCGAAGAACCUUACCUGGGCUCGAACGGCUGGUCAACGCCGGUGGAAACAUCGGUACCCCGCAAGGGGGUCCAGUCGAGGUGCUGCAUGGCUGUCGUCAGCUCGUGUCGUGAGAUGUUGGGUUAAGUCCCGCAACGAGCGCAACCCUUGUCCUGUGUUGCCAUACCGAAAGGUGGAACUCGCAGGAGACCGCCAGCGAUAAGCUGGAGGAAGGUGGGGAUGACGUCAAGUCCUCAUGGCCUUUAUGUCCAGGGCUACACACGUGCUACAAUGGACGGUACAAAGCGUCGCUAACCUGCGAAGGGGAGCCAAUCGCAAAAAACCGUUCUCAGUUCGGAUUGCAGGCUGCAACCCGCCUGCAUGAAGCUGGAAUCGCUAGUAAUGGCAGAUCAGCACGCUGCCGUGAAUACGUUCCCGGGCCUUGUACACACCGGCUAC